AAUUCUCAACCCUCCUCACUUUUGUGAUGGCUGGGCUUGGACUUGGAGGCUUUGCCGGACGCUCGUCGCUCGGCUCCUCUCAAAUGCAUUAGUACGUCUUGUUGCGAUGUGCCCUCGGUGUGAUAAUUAUCUACGCUGUGGUGCGCUUGCUUCUGGUGAGACGCGCUUUCAAACCGUCCGAAAGGACACUUCAUCGAA
Molecule: unclassified non-coding RNA, 198 nt
Filed under: uncultured Stereaceae
Lineage: Eukaryota; Fungi; Basidiomycota; Agaricomycetes; Russulales; Stereaceae
Description: sequence contains ITS2
Source: RNAcentral